Molecule: transfer RNA, 73 nt
Filed under: Ailuropoda melanoleuca (giant panda)
Lineage: Eukaryota; Metazoa; Chordata; Mammalia; Carnivora; Ursidae
Rfam family: tRNA
About the family: Transfer RNA (tRNA) molecules are approximately 80 nucleotides in length. Their secondary structure includes four short double-helical elements and three loops (D, anti-codon, and T loops). Further hydrogen bonds mediate the characteristic L-shaped molecular structure. tRNAs have two regions of fundamental functional importance: the anti-codon, which is responsible for specific mRNA codon recognition, and the 3' end, to which the tRNAs corresponding amino acid is attached (by aminoacyl-tRNA synthetases). tRNAs cope with the degeneracy of the genetic code in two manners: having more than one tRNA (with a specific anti-codon) for a particular amino acid; and 'wobble' base-pairing, i.e. permitting non-standard base-pairing at the 3rd anti-codon position.
Source: Rfam by way of RNAcentral
UCCCGUCUGGCUCAGUCAGGAGAGUGUGUGACUCUUGAUCUCGGGGUUGUGAGUUCGAGCCCCACGUUGGGUG